This is a non-coding RNA of Chiloscyllium plagiosum (whitespotted bambooshark), 245 nucleotides long. The record is from RefSeq and is a predicted model, not a curated record. NCBI's taxonomy places the organism in Eukaryota, Metazoa, Chordata, Chondrichthyes, Orectolobiformes, Hemiscylliidae.
CUUGGAAACUCUUCACCAAAUCCGCUAACGUUCGGUUUCCUGCACAAUUCCCCACUGAAACAGAACAGCAUGAAGGACGAAGGCAUCACUAUGAUGGAAUUCAAACUCAUGUACACAAGACAUUAGCCUGAGGGUAAGCCGGAAUUACUCGCCAAGUGAGAGUAUCACCAUGCCACUAAAGUUAUGGAAGGACAUGGACAUUAUUUGCUAAGCAGGAAUUACUGCCAGUUCAUAAUUGAUCAGAG